This 799-nucleotide long non-coding RNA is filed under the name Homo sapiens (human). RNAcentral describes it as "HSALNT0322672". Lineage: Eukaryota; Metazoa; Chordata; Mammalia; Primates; Hominidae. The record is from RNAcentral.
CCAGCUGUGUGGAACUAAAUUAUAUGUUCAUUCCAAGGAGUUAAGUCUCAACUGACCAUGGAAAGAAUAUGGCAGAUAUAACAGCACGUAAUUUCCAAGGCAAGGUCAUAAAAGACAUUGUAGCUUCUGCCUUGUCCCUUCCUCUUGGAUCUCUUGCUAUGGAGUAGCAGCCCCAUGAAGACACCCGUGGUGGAAGAUCACUGAGGACUCCUGCCAACAGCCACCCAGUGACUGAGGCCUCUUGCAGAAAUCCAUAUGAGUGGGCCAGCUGACAAGAAAAUCUUCCAGCUCUAGUCAAGCCUUCAGAACACCAGCUCUUAGUGCCAGGAACUGCCAGGUAAGAAUUCUGACUACACUGAGGCCACCAUGCUCUGAGGAAGUCAAGCCAGAUGGAAAGAUCACAGCAGGAGAACUGGUCAGCAGUCAUACUCUUGAACUCAUCCCAACCCAGACUCCAGACAUGUGAAUUGACAAGUCUUCAGAUGAUUCCAGCACAAAGCCAUUGAGUCACCUCCAGCCAUUGAGUGUCCCCAGCCGAGACACCAGUCACCAUCAAGCAGAGCCAGUAUGCCUGUUAUGCCUGUCCAAAUUCUUGACCCACUAAAUUCUAUGAAAUUAAUAAAUGGUUGUUUAAGUUACUAAAUUUUAAACUUAAUUUGUUAUGCAGUAAUAGGAAUUGUUCCUGUCUGUGAGCAAGUCCUCAUGGACAAUAAACUCAGAUCUGUCUGUGGAAUCUGGGAGAAAAAGAGACUGUUAUCCUUCCCCAUGGUACAGCCCCAGAAAGAUAAAAGUCUCAGAA